UGCCAGACUCCUACGGGAGGCAGCAGUGGGGAAUAUUGGACAAUGGGGGGAACCCUGAUCCAGCGACGCCGCGUGAGUGAAGAAGUAUUUCGGUAUGUAAAGCUCUAUCAGCAGGGAAGAAAGAAAUGACGGUACCUGACUAAGAAGCCCCGGCUAACUACGUGCCAGCAGCCGCGGUAAUACGUAGGGGGCAAGCGUUAUCCGGAUUUACUGGGUGUAAAGGGAGCGUAGACGGUUACGCAAGUCUGGAGUGAAAGGCGGGGGCCCAACCCCCGGACUGCUUUGGAAACUGUAUAACUGGAGUGCAGGAGAGGUAAGUGGAAUUCCUAGUGUAGCGGUGAAAUGCGUAGAUAUUAGGAGGAACACCAGUGGCGAAGGCGGCUUACUGGACCACAACUGACGCUGAGACACGAAAGCGUGGGGAGCAAACAGGAUUAGAUACCCCGGUAC
This 450-nucleotide ribosomal RNA is filed under the name uncultured bacterium. RNAcentral describes it as "bacterial SSU rRNA". It matches the Rfam family "Bacterial small subunit ribosomal RNA", at positions 329 to 793 of the family's 1533-position model. The record is from RNAcentral.